Long non-coding RNA from Acinonyx jubatus (cheetah), 4532 nucleotides. RefSeq lists it as uncharacterized. The transcript has 5 exons. NCBI's taxonomy places the organism in Eukaryota, Metazoa, Chordata, Mammalia, Carnivora, Felidae. The record is from RefSeq and is a predicted model, not a curated record.
AACAUGCAAGAUAGACCAAUGAGGUUUAAUAUAACAGUAUGAAAACUUUCAUUGAUAUGGUUUCAGGUUCUACAUUCUAAAUAACAUUUACAAAAUGAGCACUUGUGAAGAGUAGGUGUAGUUUCAAAGGAGAGUAUCCAUAUUUAUCUGAGAAGGCUCUGAAAAUCACCCUCCCCUUCUCCAACUGCAUAUAUGUGUGAGGCCAGUUUUUUUUUUUCCCACUUACUUCAACUAAAACAAAAGGGCACCAAACAUUUCAGGCAGAGGUAGUAGGAGAAACCAGUUGUCUUCCAAGAAGUCAGAAACUAGAGACAUUUGCAAAAGGAAUCUAUCAAGAGAUCCAAAGAGGAUACGCCUGUACACUUGAUAGAAAGCAAGAUGUAAGGGGCUCUCAGCGCGUCCCUGGGCUAAUAGAAAAGCAUCGCCUGGGAACCUACUGGAAAUGUUCAUCCUGCGGACCUACCCCAGUUCUACGGAGUCAGACAGUCUGCAGGCCCUCAGGAUGGAAACAAGCCAAGGAGCCCAGAAGCAGGGCCACGUCCAGGAAGCCAACAUUGCCCAGGAAAGGAACGAAGAAACCCAGAGGGACAGAGGCUCAAAAUCACUCCCAAGUGACGAUUCUCAAAUGCUUCAUCUGGGAGCCAAACCCGUUUUGACCCGCCUGCAAACUCCUCGUUGCCUCUUCCUCGAGGCGUCACCCCGUGUGUGUUAGCCUCUCAUGUUGUCUGUAAGGUCCAUCCUGUGCUUUUCGUUUGUGGGGGCACCUGUUUGGGGCUUGAGAGUUAUAGGUAUUGCUGAGUUUGCUUAGUUCUACUUAUAAAGAAAACAAAGCCAAAUGCUUUUGUUCCAGCUACAGAUCACUGGGGAGAAGGAAAAACCGUUCUUAAUCAUUUAGCCUGUCUUUCCUCUUCUUUCACAUUCCCUCUGUAUUCCUUUUUCAUCUUCACUUAAGAAAUGCCUUCUGCCCCUCCCCUGCUCAUGCUCUGUCUCAAAAAAAAAAAAAAUUAAAAAAUGCCCUUGGGAAACACCACUGAGGCUGAAGGGGGGUGGGGGAGACAAAGACGGGACUUGCCCUGGCGUGCUUUGCAGGUCAGGUGUAAGGCAAAGGAAGAAAACGGAACGUAUGAAAAGGAAGAACAUAUUUUUGUGAUUUUUUUUUUUUUUUGCUUUAAUCAAUAUGUUAGCAGGACGAAAAUUAAUCAGGUUUUUUAAGCUGAAACUGAGGGUGCGGAAGAAGGGGUAUGGUUGGUUGUCUUUAUCUGUGUUACAGUAGAAGCUCAGAGAAAGGGGCUCAAGCUGUGGCAGGAAGGAUCGGAGCACGAUUGAGUCAGGAAGGAGGGCCCGGGGUUGCUGGCCGUGGUGGUCCAGGACCAGUGACCCUGGACUUGAGCAAUGAGCUUCAGCUGAGGCUAAGGGCAGGGCUGCCCGUGAGCCUCUCGUGGGUUCCUGGAUGGCUUCUGCAGUCCCUUGCACAAUAAGGGUCUCCUGGCCAAUCACCACCCCGAGUUCAAAUCCUGGCUCUCUUCACUUUGACCAGUGUGAUUUGGGGCAGCUAAAUCCAUAGCUGAGGCUCUUUAGUGUAUCUGCUAACGCAGAGUGAUUUAAUGCCCUGCUCUGACCACGCUGCCUUACUAGGAUGUGUUACCCAUUUGUGGGACCCGGUGGCGAAGAAGAGGAGAAACGCCUCCUUCAAAACUUGCUGUCUAGACAAUUGACACAAAGCGUUAAAGCCCGCACAGGGCCCUUAGGGCAGAGCCCUGUGGCUCUGCCCCGGUCACACGCCCGCCCGGGAAGCCUGCUCUAUAUAGCCUGGAGGUAAUCAUCCCUGAGCCCCUGGGGGAUGGUCUGGCUCAGGAAGACUCAGAUUAAGCCAACACAAGUUGACCCUGUGCCGAGGACCCGGCAGGCCUCACGCUGCUCUGCACGGACCUGCUGUGAGCAGGUUACAGCGAUGGUUUGAAGCACACAGUCUGUUAUGGAUGUGUUUAAAUAGAUCUAAAAGCUUUCAGCUUGGUUUUUUUUUCCCCCCCAAGUUGAACCCCCAAGCUUACUAAGGCCAAAUGGGAUCACAAAUGCACUGCAUGGCCCAUCGUAGAAACCAACCGAAGUUUCCCCGUAUUUGUUCCCGGAAUCCCCCGCAAGAGGGUCAGGAGAUCGCUGCUUGCAGGGCUGGCCCUCGGUUUCCGCAACAGAGCGGGGGAAUCAAAAGCUCCGUAGCUACCGCAUGGGAACCUGCCUUUGUACCAAUGUCCCCAGAGGCUCUCACGCCUCCACGGCUUUCACCUGACUGCAGUGAACCCGAUACCCAUCGGCACCCUCCCCAUUUCAAAGAUAAUCUUCAUGCAUAAUUCCUGCUCGGCCGAAUGACGCCUAGCUAUCACCAGAAACGCGUGACCCUUAACAACGACAGCUUUUAUUUCCCAGAGCGAUGAGCAUCGCACCAAUUCGAACAACGCAAGCCACGGCGCACGAGCAUUUUCUAUGCGCCAAGCGCUUGUUUAAUCCCACAAUGACUUCCGAGGUGGGGAUUGCCCGCCCGUGUUCUAGGAAAGGAACCGGAUGCUCAGAGAGACUAAAAGACUUGGAGCCAGCAAGCGGCAGUGUUGUGAUGAAGCCUGGCUUUUUGGCGGGCCCAACAUCCACAGCGUUCCAUUCUUUCCACGUGAGACCCACUACCUUGCCAGGUAGGAAAAAAAUUACCAAUGCAGGUAAAUUGUCCCCAUAAACUUCCUUUCGUUUUUUUUGUGAUGUAGGUGCAUUGGCCUUCCUUGCAGCAAACUUGGAGCUUGGAGAAAGAACCUUCUGGAGGGCCACAGGGUCUCUUGCUUGGCAAGAGGCCCUCAAAGGAGAAGCAUUAUUGAACCGCACUGUUUUCUCUUGUCCGAAGCUAACCCCAGCAUAUGCCUCGUGAGACCUCUGUCACUACAUUUUUUAGUUAAUAAAUCUGGCUUAAAAUUCUCCACAGAUGACUGAUGCGAGAGACAAAGAGAUGCGUUUAAAACCUCCGAGUGGAGGUACGAGGAGAAAGCUGCAUAAGGUAACUGAGAAGUAAAACACCAAAGGAGGUUUGUAUUACAUCAGCUUCUCUCUUUAGUGCAGCGAUGGACAUUUGGGCUCUUUCCAUCCUUUGGCUGUUGUCGAUGGCGCUGCCACAAACAUGGGGGUGCAUGCGUCCCUUCGAAACAGCACACCUGUAUCCCCUGGAUGAAUGCCUGGUAGUGCAAUUGCUGGGUUGUAGGGGAGUUCUAUUUUUAGUUUUUUGAGUAUGGAGGAACCUCCAUACUAUUUCCCAGAGUGGCUGCACCAGUUAGCAUUCCCACCAACAGUGUGAGAGGGUUCCCCUCUCUCCGUGGCCUCGCCAACAUAUGUUGUCUCUUGUGUGGUUCAUUGUAGCCAUUCUGAAGGGGUGAGGUAGGAGGUGAUUGUGAUUUUGACCCGCAUUUCCCUGAUGAAAAGUGGUGAUGAACAUCUUUUCAUGUGUCUGUGGGCCACCCGGAGGUCUUCCUUGGAGAAAAGUCUGUUCAUAUCUUCUGCUCCUUUUUUAACUGGAUUAUUUGCUUUCCGGGUGUUGGGUUUUAUAGAUUGUUUAUAUAUUUUGGAGACUGUCCCUCUAUGAAGCAUGGCGUUUGCAAAUCUCUUCUCCCAUUCUUUAGGUUGACUUUUACGUUUACUGAUUGUUUCCUUUGCUACCCUGAAGCCUUUUAUUUUGAUGUAGUCCCGAUAGUUGAUUUUUGCUCGAAUGAGCGAAUUUUUAACCGUUCCUUUUCAUACAUAUGGAGCACAAGGAAGGAAGAAGAGACGUUGUAUAGCUUGGUCGUCUUUUUAUUUUAACUUUCAUCCCUUAGUUUUCAUCGUGAGCCAUGAGGGGAGGCAGAAUUAUGGACAUUUGAUACAAAUAACAUGGAUCAGACUCCAGAGUUCUAAUUUACUCCUGCCUAAUCAAUUUGGGUUAAUAAGAAUUGCUCAGCCUGCCUAUUCGUAUGUCUCAUAAUUAGCAUGCCUCACAAAAUUUGAUGGACAUUAGCAAAGAAAUAUAACCCAUGGCAAGAUGGAAAAGCAUACACACCUAUGCUUAAAGCAAAUACCUGUUCUUAUGAUUUAGUGUCAAUGAGUUACAUAACUGGCCAAAGUAAAUUUACUUAGAACUUUUCUUAAUUAAAGAAAUGUGUGAAUGUUGUUCUCUUUACGUCUUGGGUCUGGAUUUUCUCCUUCUACCACAAGACCAUGGGAUCGCCAGUAGAUGUUUAACAACCAGCUUGUCAGAGGCAGAAAAAAAAGAAUUUGCAGCAUUUGCUGAUUUCCAUGCCAUAAAAACUCCCACAUGGCUGACUUUAGCUGUGCGCAUGAAAUAACUGAAACAAAAGAUGGGAAGAAAUGCAAAUAAUCAGCUCUUACAAAUGACUAUACCCUGGUUCCUGCACACAACGGUCCAUAAUUAUUUUUGAACUGAUAGGGACUUUAUUGGUACCUAUAGUUUCCCAUAGAUUUAGUUGACUUUCUUUAAUUUUGCGUAUUUUCUCAAUGUGAAAAUA